RNAcentral lists this ribosomal RNA (211 nucleotides) under uncultured bacterium. RNAcentral describes it as "partial 16S ribosomal RNA". The record is from RNAcentral.
GAUGAACGCUGGCGGCGUGCCUAAUACAUGCAAGUCGAGCGGUAACAGGCUCUCACAGUUUGCUUAAGUUCUUUGGUCUUCGGACCUUAGAUGACGAAACCAUCCCGAACGGCCGGCUAGCCGGAAAGGAUGGCAGAGUUUAUUGAGCAGAGUGUGAGAGUGCUGACGAGCGGCGGACGGCUGAGUAACGCGUAGGAACGUACCCAAGUAG